Molecule: ribosomal RNA, 253 nt
Filed under: uncultured bacterium
Lineage: Bacteria
Description: partial 16S ribosomal RNA
Rfam family: Bacterial small subunit ribosomal RNA
Source: RNAcentral
UACAGAGGUCUCAAGCGUUGUUCGGAUUCAUUGGGCGUAAAGGGUGCGUAGGUGGCGGGGCAAGUUUGGUGUGAAAUCCUAGGGCUCAACCCUGGAACUGCACUGAAUACUGCUUUGCUAGAGUACUGGAGAGGGAACUGGAAUUUACGGUGUAGCAGUGAAAUGCGUAGAUAUCGGGAGGAAUACCAGUGGCGAAGGCGGCCUUCUGGACGGAUACUGACGCUGAGGCGCGAAAGCCAGGGGAGCAAACGGG